GACGAACGCUGGCGGCGUGCCUAAUACAUGCAAGUAGAACGCUGAAAAGAGGAGCUUGCUCUUCUUGGAUGAGUUGCGAACGGGUGAGUAACGCGUAGGUAACCUGCCUUGUAGCGGGGGAUAACUAUUGGAAACGAUAGCUAAUACCGCAUAACAAUGGAUGACCCAUGUCAUUUAUUUGAAAGGGGCAAAUGCUCCACUACAAGAUGGACCUGCGUUGUAUUAGCUAGUAGGUGAGGUAACGGCUCACCUAGGCGACGAUACAUAGCCGACCUGAGAGGGUGAUCGGCCACACUGGGACUGAGACACGGCCCAGACUCCUACGGGAGGCAGCAGUAGGGAAUCUUCGGCAAUGGGGGCAACCCUGACCGAGCAACGCCGCGUGAGUGAAGAAGGUUUUCGGAUCGUAAAGCUCUGUUGUAAGUCAAGAACGAGUGUGAGAGUGGAAAGUUCACACUGUGACGGUAGCUUACCAGAAAGGGACGGCUAACUACGUGCCAGCAGCCGCGGUAAUACGUAGGUCCCGAGCGUUGUCCGGAUUUAUUGGGCGUAAAGCGAGCGCAGGCGGUUUGAUAAGUCUGAAGUUAAAGGCUGUGGCUCAACCAUAGUUCGCUUUGGAAACUGUCAAACUUGAGUGCAGAAGGGGAGAGUGGAAUUCCAUGUGUAGCGGUGAAAUGCGUAGAUAUAUGGAGGAACACCGGUGGCGAAAGCGGCUCUCUGGUCUGUAACUGACGCUGAGGCUCGAAAGCGUGGGGAGCGAACAGGAUUAGAUACCCUGGUAGUCCACGCCGUAAACGAUGAGUGCUAGGUGUUGGAUCCUUUCCGGGAUUCAGUGCCGCAGCUAACGCAUUAAGCACUCCGCCUGGGGAGUACGAUCGCAAGGUUGAAACUCAAAGGAAUUGACGGGGGCCCGCACAAGCGGUGGAGCAUGUGGUUUAAUUCGAAGCAACGCGAAGAACCUUACCAGGUCUUGACAUCCCGAUGCUAUUUCUAGAGAUAGAAAGUUACUUCGGUACAUCGGUGACAGGUGGUGCAUGGUUGUCGUCAGCUCGUGUCGUGAGAUGUUGGGUUAAGUCCCGCAACGAGCGCAACCCCUAUUGUUAGUUGCCAUCAUUCAGUUGGGCACUCUAGCGAGACUGCCGGUAAUAAACCGGAGGAAGGUGGGGAUGACGUCAAAUCAUCAUGCCCCUUAUGACCUGGGCUACACACGUGCUACAAUGGUUGGUACAACGAGUUGCGAGUCGGUGACGGCAAGCUAAUCUCUUAAAGCCAAUCUCAGUUCGGAUUGUAGGCUGCAACUCGCCUACAUGAAGUCGGAAUCGCUAGUAAUCGCGGAUCAGCACGCCGCGGUGAAUACGUUCCCGGGCCU
Molecule: ribosomal RNA, 1369 nt
Filed under: uncultured bacterium
Lineage: Bacteria
Description: bacterial SSU rRNA
Rfam family: Bacterial small subunit ribosomal RNA
Source: RNAcentral